CCCCUAGAUGUUCUGGGCCGCACGCGCGCUACACUGAACAGUUCAACAAGUCUUAACCUUGGCCGAUAGGUCUGGGUAAUCUUUGAACGCUGUUCGUGAUUGGGAUAGACCUUUGCAAUUAUGGGUCUUCAACGAGGAAUUCCUAGUAAACGCAAGUCAUCAGCUUGCAUUGAUUACGUCCCUGCCCUUUGUACACACCGCCCGUCGCACCUCCCGAUUGAAUGGUCCGGUGAAAUCUCGGGACGGCGGCUUGGUCGCUUGCGUCCGACUGCUGAAACUUGAUUAAACCAUAUCAUUUAGAGGAAGGUGAAGUCGUAACA
Molecule: ribosomal RNA, 320 nt
Filed under: uncultured eukaryote
Lineage: Eukaryota
Description: partial 18S ribosomal RNA
Rfam family: Eukaryotic small subunit ribosomal RNA
Source: RNAcentral